Long non-coding RNA from Hippocampus comes (tiger tail seahorse), 156 nucleotides. RefSeq lists it as uncharacterized. NCBI's taxonomy places the organism in Eukaryota, Metazoa, Chordata, Actinopteri, Syngnathiformes, Syngnathidae. The record is from RefSeq and is a predicted model, not a curated record. The transcript is spliced from 3 exons.
AGCUGUCUGAGAGCCGUCUUCAGUGUAGGAGGAUAGUUGGUUACUUCAAAAGCAGUACCACUGCAAAGACAAGGCUGACACAGGUGCAGGAGCAAAUGAAGCCGACAGAGCCUGUGCUGAAGCUCAUUCAAGAGGUGGAGACACGCUGGAACAGCA